AAUCCACUGUUACUGAAGUAAGGUAUGUCUUGUCUAAAAACAGAUUUUAUAUGUUCUCAUUUUUUGCUUGUACCUUUUUUCCCUCCUGUUCUUUCUCAUUAUGCUUCUUACAACUAUGCUGGAAUGAGCUCUUCCCUGGUUGCUGAUGCAUCUGGGGUAACUUUUUUAGGAACUUGGCUUUCCGGUCUUUUUUUUUAGUAGCUGAUUAUCCAU
This 213-nucleotide unclassified non-coding RNA is filed under the name Hevea brasiliensis (rubber tree). The record is from RNAcentral. Lineage: Eukaryota; Viridiplantae; Streptophyta; Magnoliopsida; Malpighiales; Euphorbiaceae.